UUCUCCCGACCCAUAACCGAACCACCGUGCUUCGGUUUUUUAUUGAUAUGCAUAGCUAUGAUCAUUGCAAGAUCCUCCUCCUCUUCCAUAUCAAAUUCUUCUUCGGAAGAAUUAUACGACGAACUCAUCUACAAUGUUCAAUACUAUACUGUAAAAACUACCAUUCAAAACAUGCACCAAAUUCAUAAGUUUGGAGCAAUACAUACCUUGUAGGCGUUUU
RNAcentral lists this long non-coding RNA (220 nucleotides) under Hordeum vulgare. RNAcentral describes it as "long non-coding RNA (HVUL_LNC006063)". Lineage: Eukaryota; Viridiplantae; Streptophyta; Magnoliopsida; Poales; Poaceae. The record is from RNAcentral.